AGACGUGUAUAGUGAUUUUAUUAUCAUUUCUUUCCCCCUCCCUCCAGGAAACACACCCCAAGCUGGCGAGAUAGGCGCAGUGCGAGAUGAUGCCCCCAGCUCCAAGCCCGGGAUCCCCAAGUCCCUGCCCCCCAGGGAGCCCCACUCCGGUCUCCUCGGAGCUUCGAGCUUGGACAGCGGGCCGGCUCAGGCCAGCUCCCUCCCGCGACUCCCGCCAGCCCGGCCUCGGAGCCCGGAACUGUCCCCGGCCGCCGGGGCACGGGGCGCGGGGGAGGAGGGAGCAUCCUAGGUUGGGGCGGCUCGCCGCCGGAGCCUAGCGGGGAGCAGGGAGUGGGGAGCACGGCGUGGACGCGGGGCGCUGGCAGCCCCAGCCGAGCAGCUGCCCAGAUCACCGGCAGCAGCAACAGCAGCAGCAGCAGCAGCAGCAGCAGCAGCAGCGAGAGCGAACCAGGCUCGCCAGCCUCGCCGGCCGCGUCCGCUCCGCUCGUCUCUGCUCGCGCCCCAGCCCGGCGCGCGCCCAGCCCGGGCUUCUGCAAAACUUUGAAAAUACAGAGAGAACUCCCAUUACCUUGGCAGGAGCGGGCUUGUCUGCGUUGGAGCGAAAAGCGGCCCUAACUCAGACGUGUGCAGUCCACGGCGAAGUCGGAGCCAACAUGCUGACUUAAUAGCCGAGCUCCCACCCACUCCUGGGAGCUUAAACUUUAAGAUUCCAAGAGAGAUCAACAUUUCUUCCGUCUCUUUAAUUUCCUUGUUUUCUCUUGUUCCGCUCUUCCUUCUGGUGCGCACUUCUGUUUUUAUUUGUUAUCUUUACAUCAGAGCCCCAUCCUCGAAGGGGAUGUUUUCAUGCGAAAACUUUUUGGCAGAGAGGAAUUUCGCGUUGAAUAUAUGAAUGAGAAGGAAGUAAACUGGCAGAUGUGGGGCAGAAAUUAUUUCAAAAAAAAAAAAAAGUAGGGGGAUAAGAGGGAAAAUAAGCUGUUUCUUGUCGAUGGUGGAGGGGGGGGGGGGAAGCAUUCUCAUCCGAAAGGGCGAAGAGUGGGGGGAAGCCUUUACAUGCUUGAGAUAGCCAUCCCCUUAAUUCACUGACAGCUUGAGGCCCAUGGGCUAUUAGCGUUAAAGUACCAUUCUUCCCUUUGCUGUUAUUCUGUCCUUACCUUACAGAAUCCAGGGGUUAAAAUAAAUGGAGUCUUUAAAAUACUAAUUCAUUAACUAGAUUAAUAUGUAAAUCUUAAACCCUAAGAAUCUGGCUUAUUUGCAGUUUUCUAAUCAAAUAAAAGCAAGAGAAAUCUCAACUGUAAUGCAGAUGCUCCAGCAGCUGGCAGUACCCCUACCAAGAAAGCAAAGAAAGAGGACUCCAGGAAAUUGAUGGUACCAUGGGCUCUGGUCUUUUUGACUGAACAUUUUUUUAUUUGCAGAAUGAAAGGCUGAAAAAAGAAGAAGAAGAAGAAAGAAAGGAAGAAAGAAAUAAAGAAGGGAGAAAAGAAAGAAGGAAAAUAAAAUGAAAAUCUCUUGAAGAGAGGGACUAUUGUUGCUUUCACUUUUUAUCCCUAUUUCUUUGCAGAAUGCCUGACACAAAAUAAGUGUUUAUUAAAGAAUGAUCCAGAUUGAUUUUGCAAGCUUAGAUUUCAUCUUCACCUCUUCCCAAUAAUUUUCUUAUUUGUAAAACUAAAUAAAUAACAAUUUGGACUAUUG
This is a long non-coding RNA of Sarcophilus harrisii (Tasmanian devil), 1689 nucleotides long. Lineage: Eukaryota; Metazoa; Chordata; Mammalia; Dasyuromorphia; Dasyuridae. The record is from Ensembl.